UCGCCCUUCCGACUCCUACGGGAGGCAGCAGUAGGGAAUCUUCGGCAAUGGACGAAAGUCUGACCGAGCAACGCCGCGUGAGUGAAGAAGGUUUUCGGAUCGUAAAACUCUGUUGGUAGAGAAGAACGUUGGUGAGAGUGGAAAGCUCAUCAAGUGACGGUAACUACCCAGAAAGGGACGGCUAACUACGUGCCAGCAGCCGCGGUAAUACGUAGGUCCCGAGCGUUGUCCGGAUUUAUUGGGCGUAAAGCGAGCGCAGGUGGUUUAUUAAGUCUGGUGUAAAAGGCAGUGGCUCAACCAUUGUAUGCAUUGGAAACUGGUAGACUUGAGUGCAGGAGAGGAGAGUGGAAUUCCAUGUGUAGCGGUGAAAUGCGUAGAUAUAUGGAGGAACACCGGUGGCGAAAGCGGCUCUCUGGCCUGUAACUGACACUGAGGCUCGAAAGCGUGGGGAGCAAACAGGAUUAGAUACCCUGGUAGUCCACGCCGUAAACGAUGAGUGCUAGAUGUAGGGAGCUAUAAGUUCUCUGUAUCGCAGCUAACGCAAUAAGCACUCCGCCUGGGGAGUACGACCGCAAGGUUGAAACUCAAGGAAUUGACGGGGGCCCGCACAAG
This 612-nucleotide ribosomal RNA is filed under the name uncultured bacterium. Its description in RNAcentral is "bacterial SSU rRNA". It matches the Rfam family "Bacterial small subunit ribosomal RNA", at positions 324 to 929 of the family's 1533-position model. The record is from RNAcentral.